This 1340-nucleotide ribosomal RNA is filed under the name metagenome. Its description in RNAcentral is "bacterial LSU rRNA". It matches the Rfam family "Bacterial large subunit ribosomal RNA", at positions 1564 to 2910 of the family's 2925-position model. The record is from RNAcentral.
UGAAUACGAAAUGCUACGGCAUUGAAGUGAUCUAUGCCAGGCUUCCAAGAAAAUCUCGUCAUAUCUUAAGCAGUAGAUGCCUGUACCUUAAACCGACACAGGUAGGUAGGUAGAGUAUACCAAGGGGCGCGAGAUAACUCUCUCUAAGGAACUCGGCAAAAUAACCUCGUAACUUCGGAGAAGAGGUACCCUUGAAAAAGGGUUGCAAUAACCAGACCCUGGCGACUGUUUACCAAAAACACAGGUCUCCGCUAAUUCGUAAGAUCAAGUAUGGAGGCUGACGCCUGCCCAGUGCCGGAAGGUUAAAGAAGUUGGUCAAUCUUUGGAUGAAGCUGGCGACUGAAGCCCCGGUGAACGGCGGCCGUAACAAUAACGGUCCUAAGGUAGCGAAGUUCCUUGUCGGGUAAGUUCCGACCCGCACGAAAGGCGUAACGAUCAGGGUGCUGUCUCGGAGAGAGACUCGGCGAAAUAGACAUGUCUGUGAAGAUGCGGACUACCUGCACCUGGACAGAAAGACCCUAUGAAGCUUUACUGUAUCUUGGAAUUGGGUUUGGGCCUUGCUUGCGCAGGAUAGGUGGGAGGCUGUGAAGAUAUUCUUGCGGGAAUGUUGGAGCCAACGGUGAGAUACCACUCUAGUAAGGCUAAAAUUCUAACUCUGAACCGUUAUCCGGUCAGAGAACAGUUUCAGGUGGGCAGUUUGACUGGGGCGGUCGCCUCCUAAAAGGUAACGGAGGCGCGCAAAGGUUCCCUCAGGCUGGUUGACAUCAGUCGUAGAGUGUAAAGGCAUAAGGGAGCUUGACUGCGAGACCCACAAGUCGAGCAGAGACGAAAGUCGGCCUUAGUGAUCCGACGGUUCCACGUGGAAGGGCCGUCGCUCAACGGAUAAAAGUUACUCUAAGGAUAACAGGCUGAUCUCCCCCAAGAGUUCACAUCGACGGGGAGGUUUGGCACCUCGAUGUCGGCUCAUCGCAUCCUGGGGCGGUAGUACGUCCCAAGGGUUGGGCUGUUCGCCCAUGAAAGCGGUACGCGAGCUGGGUUCAGAACGUCGUGAGACAGUUCAGUCCAUAUCCGGUGCAGGCGUUAGAGCAUUGAGAGGAGUCCCCCUUAGUACGAGAGGACCGGGGGGAAUACACCGCUGGUGUACCAGUUAUCGUGCCAACGGUAAACGCUGGGUAGCCAUGUGUAGCGCGGAUAACUGCUGAAAGCAUCUAAGUAGGAAGCCCACCUUAAGAUGAGUGCUCUCACCGCUAUAAGCGGGUAAGGUCACGGUAAGAACAACCGUUAUAUAGGCAUUAAGUAUACGUGCAGUAAUGCAUUUAGCUGAGAUGUACUAACAGACC